AAUUAGUGAUGAGUUCAGAAAUCUGGGAGAGUUGGAGCAGAAUGGGGCAUGUUAUCUGACAAACUUGAAGGAAGUUUAUAGCAUCAAGGAACAGGGCAUACUUUCUUGUUGAAAGAGAAGUAGAAAAUGAAGCUUAGAUUCUAAUAAAUUAGAAGCUAAUAAUAAAUAAAUUGGGAGUAGGGAAGAUCACAACAAAAGCAAAAAUCAGUCUUACUGAAAUCGACGAAGUAGGAGAGGUAGUGUGCUCCUUCAGAAAGAAAAGAAAAAUUUUUUUGUAGAACUUGCUUUCUUUAAGAAAUACAGUAAAGCACCACAGAUCACAUAUUCAAAGUAACUUGAAAAAAAAUGACGUAAAGAGUGAUUAAGGAUUAUAAUUUCACUUUAAUAUUGACUCAGUCUAAAUUAAAUAUUUGACAUCUAAACUACAUUAAAAUGGCUGCCUAGAAUCUAGUGUCUGAAGUUGGAGCCUCUUGAAGUU
Molecule: long non-coding RNA, 478 nt
Filed under: Canis lupus familiaris (dog)
Lineage: Eukaryota; Metazoa; Chordata; Mammalia; Carnivora; Canidae
Description: lncRNA (ENSCAFG00040015533.1)
Source: RNAcentral